This 484-nucleotide ribosomal RNA is filed under the name uncultured bacterium. RNAcentral's name for it is "partial 16S ribosomal RNA". It matches the Rfam family "Bacterial small subunit ribosomal RNA", at positions 899 to 1397 of the family's 1533-position model. The record is from RNAcentral.
ACUCAAAGGAAUUGACGGGGACCCGCACAAGCGGUGGAGCGUGUUGUUUAAUUCGAUGGUAAGCGAAGAACCUUACCCAGGCUUGACAUCCUUGGAAUUUCUGCGAAAGCAGAGAGUGUCUUCGGAAGCCAAGUGACAGGUGAUGCAUGGCCGUCGUCAGCUCGUGUCGUGAGAUGUUUGGUUAAGUCCAUCAACGAGCGCAACCCUUGUGAUUAGUUGUAUUUUUCUAAUCAGACUGCCCUGGCAACAGGGAGGAAGGGGGGGAUGAUGUCAGGUCAGUAUUUCCCUUACGUCUGGGGCUACAAACACGCUACAAUGGCCGGUACAAAGGGCUGCCAACCCGCGAGGGGGAGCAAAUCCCAUCAAAGCCGGUCCCAGUUCGGAUAGCAGGCUGAAACUCGCCUGCUUGAAGUCGGAAUCGCUAGUAAUGGUAGGUCAGCACACUACCGUGAAUACGUUCCCGGGUCUUGCACACACCGCCCGU